RNAcentral lists this transfer RNA (78 nucleotides) under Bacteroidetes bacterium QH_1_64_81. RNAcentral's name for it is "tRNA-Asp". It matches the Rfam family "tRNA". From Rfam's summary of the family: Transfer RNA (tRNA) molecules are approximately 80 nucleotides in length. Their secondary structure includes four short double-helical elements and three loops (D, anti-codon, and T loops). RNAcentral also lists the same sequence under 2 other names. Lineage: Bacteria; Pseudomonadati; Bacteroidota. The record is from RNAcentral.
GGUCCGGUAGUUCAGUUGGUUUAGAAUGCUGCCCUGUCACGGCAGAGGUCGCGGGUUCGAGUCCCGUCCGGACCGCCA